GAUGAAGAACGUAGCGAAAUGCGAUACUUGGUGUGAAUUGCAGAAUCCCGUGAACCAUCGAGUCUUUGAACGCAAGUUGCGCCCGAAGCCAUCAGGUUGAGGGCACGUCUGCCUGGGCGUCACAUAUCGUUGCCCAAUGCCUAUUGCAGUGCAAUAGGAAUUUCUAGGGCGAAUGAUGGCUUCCCGUGAGCGUUGUUGCCUCGCGGUUGGUUGAAAAUCGAGUCCUUGGUAGGGUGUGCCAUGGUAGAUGGUGGUCGAGUUAGAACGAUACCGAUCAUGUGCAUGCUCCCCAAAAUAUGGCCUCUAUGACCCACACGCGUCUUUUGACGCUCAUGACGAGACCUCAGGUCAGGCGGGGCUACCCGCUGAAUUUAAGCAUAUCAAUAAGCGGGGA
Molecule: unclassified non-coding RNA, 394 nt
Filed under: soil metagenome
Description: partial contains 5.8S ribosomal RNA, internal transcribed spacer 2, and large subunit ribosomal RNA
Rfam family: 5.8S ribosomal RNA (bases 1-122)
Source: RNAcentral